RNAcentral lists this ribosomal RNA (398 nucleotides) under uncultured bacterium. Its description in RNAcentral is "bacterial SSU rRNA". It matches the Rfam family "Bacterial small subunit ribosomal RNA", at positions 39 to 423 of the family's 1533-position model. The record is from RNAcentral.
GAAUUCACUAGUGAUUCAGGCCUAACACAUGCAAGUCGAGCGGUAGCACAGGGAGCUUGCUCUUGGGUGACGAGCGGCGGACGGGUGAGUAAUGUCUGGGAAACUGCCUGAUGGAGGGGGAUAACUACUGGAAACGGUAGCUAAUACCGCAUAACGUCGCAAGACCAAAGAGGGGGACCUUCGGGCCUCUUGCCAUCAGAUGUGCCCAGAUGGGAUUAGCUAGUAGGUGGGGUAACGGCUCACCUAGGCGACGAUCCCUAGCUGGUCUGAGAGGAUGACCAGCCACACUGGAACUGAGACACGGUCCAGACUCCUACGGGAGGCAGCAGUGGGGAAUAUUGCACAAUGGGCGCAAGCCUGAUGCAGCCAAGGGGCGUGUAUGAAGAAGGCCUUCGGGU